ACCAGCCAUGCCGCGUUGAAGGAUUAAGGCCCUCUGGGCUUGUAAACUUCUUUUAUAGGGGAAGAAAUGUUUCGAUUCUUCGGAGCUUGACGGUACCCUGGGAAUAAGCACCGGCUAACUCCGUGCCAGCAGCCGCGGUAAUACGGAGGGUGCAAGCGUUAUCCGGAUUCACUGGGUUUAAAGGGUGCGUAGGUGGACAGAUAAGUCAGUGGUGAAAUCUUCCGGCUUAACCGGGAAACUGCCGUUGAUACUAUUUGUCUUGAAUAUUGCGGAGGUAAGCGGAAUAUGUCAUGUAGCGGUGAAAUGCUUAGAUAUGACAUAGAACACCAAUUGCGAAGGCAGCUUACUACACAAUUAUUGACACUGAUGCACGAAAGCGUGGGUAGCGAACAGGAUUAGAUACCCUGGUAGUCCACGCCCUAAACGAUGAUUACUCGACAUACGCGAUACACUGUGUGUGUCUGAGCGAAAGCAUUAAGUAAUCCACCUGGGAAGUACGACCGCAAGGUUG
Molecule: ribosomal RNA, 511 nt
Filed under: uncultured bacterium
Lineage: Bacteria
Description: bacterial SSU rRNA
Rfam family: Bacterial small subunit ribosomal RNA
Source: RNAcentral